CCUACGGGUGGCAGCAGUGAGGAAUUUUGGUCCAUGGCCGGAAGGCUGAACCAGCCAAGCCGCGUGAAGGACGAAGGUGCCAAGCAUUUUAAACUUCUUUUGUCAAGGGACAAAAUCAGGCUCGAGAGCCUGACCGGGGGUCCUUGAAGAAAAAGCAUCUGCUAACUCAGUUCCCGCCGCCGCGGUAAUACGGGGGAUGCGAGCGUUAUCCGGAUUUAUUGGGUUUAAGGGGUGCGUAGGCGGGCUGUUAGUUAAGCGGGAAAAGCCCGGGGCUCAACCCCGGCGAGCCGUGGAGACUGGCUGUCUUGAGAUGUCGAGAGGUAUGCGGAAUGCGCAGUGUAGCGGGGAAAUGCGUAGAUAUUGCGCAGAACUCCGAUUGCGAAGGCAGCAUACCGGCGGCGAUCUGACGCUGAGGCACGAAAGCGUGGGUAUCGAACAGGAUUAGAUACCCCUGUAGUC
Molecule: ribosomal RNA, 459 nt
Filed under: uncultured bacterium
Lineage: Bacteria
Description: partial 16S ribosomal RNA
Rfam family: Bacterial small subunit ribosomal RNA
Source: RNAcentral